UACUCCUACGGGAGGCAGCAGUAGGGAAUCUUCGGCAAUGGACGGAAGUCUGACCGAGCAACGCCGCGUGAGUGAAGAAGGUUUUCGGAUCGUAAAGCUCUGUUGUAAGAGAAGAACGAGUGUGAGAGUGGAAAGUUCACACUGUGACGGUAUCUUACCAGAAAGGGACGGCUAACUACGUGCCAGCAGCCGCGGUAAUACGUAGGUCCCGAGCGUUGUCCGGAUUUAUUGGGCGUAAAGCGAGCGCAGGCGGUUAGAUAAGUCUGAAGUUAAAGGCUGUGGCUUAACCAUAGUACGCUUUGGAAACUGUUUAACUUGAGUGCAAGAGGGGAGAGUGGAAUUCCAUGUGUAGCGGUGAAAUGCGUAGAUAUAUGGAGGAACACCGGUGGCGAAAGCGGCUCUCUGGCUUGUAACUGACGCUGAGGCUCGAAAGCGUGGGGAGCAAACAGGAUUAGAUACCCUGGUAGUCCACGCCGUAAACGAUGAGUGCUAGGUGUUAGACCCUUUCCGGGGUUUAGUGCCGUAGCUAACGCACUAAGCACUCCGCCUGGGGAGUACGACCGCAAGGUUGAAACUCAAAGGAAUUGACGGA
Molecule: ribosomal RNA, 592 nt
Filed under: uncultured bacterium
Lineage: Bacteria
Description: bacterial SSU rRNA
Rfam family: Bacterial small subunit ribosomal RNA
Source: RNAcentral